RNAcentral lists this ribosomal RNA (380 nucleotides) under uncultured eukaryote. Its description in RNAcentral is "partial 18S ribosomal RNA". It matches the Rfam family "Eukaryotic small subunit ribosomal RNA", at positions 592 to 976 of the family's 1831-position model. The record is from RNAcentral.
CAAUAGCGUGUAUUAAAGUUGUUGCAGUUAAAAAGCUCGUAGUUGGAUUUGUGGCGUACGGUGUGUUCCGGGCACUUGUUGUCUGAGUAACCUGCUGUUGCCAUCCUUGGGUGGAACCUGUGUGGCAUUAGGUUGUCGUGCAGGGGAUGCCCAUCAUUUACUGUGAAAAAAUUAGAGUGUUCAAAGCAGGCUUAUGCCGUUGAAUAUAUUAGCAUGGAAUAAUGGGAUAGGACUUUUUUGCUAUUUUGUUGGUUUGCGCAAAGAGGUAAUGAUUAAUAGGGACAGUUGGGGAUAUUCGUAUUCCAUUGUCAGAGGUGAAAUUCUUGGAUUUUUGGAAGACGAACUACUGCGAAAGCAUUUACCAAGGAUGUUUUCAUUAA